This 203-nucleotide microRNA precursor is filed under the name Gossypium raimondii (Peruvian cotton). Its description in RNAcentral is "miR7504j stem-loop (gra-MIR7504j)". Lineage: Eukaryota; Viridiplantae; Streptophyta; Magnoliopsida; Malvales; Malvaceae. The record is from miRBase by way of RNAcentral.
AGAAAUGAUAAUAUGAAACUGAGAUACCAUGUCAUUUGUAUCAUUUUCUAAUAAUUUGAUAUUAUUUCAGCAUUUUCAUCUUAAAUUUCAACACAUCAUGUUGAAUUUGAUUUUUUUUAAGGAUGAAAAUGUUAAAAUAACAUUAAUUUAUUGUAAAUAAAUACAAAUAACAUAGUAUCACAGUUCAUAUAAUCUUUUUUUCC